AUCGCUUCUUUCAUACACAUCGAUGUACCACCUUGCUUCUAACCAUGGCAUCCUCCAACGCAAUGGAAGCUCCAUGGCAUGUUUCACAUGCAUAGCAAGAUUCGGAUCAACUAUAUUUCCAUGGAGCUCUUUAAGGUUUAUAUUUGUGAAGCACCAUCCCUCCUCCAUUAGACACUCUCCUUCAAAAGAGUAGUAGGAAGCUUCAUACAAACUCAACAUUCCCUUCACAUCUUCGCGAAGACAUUCUUUGAAGCUCCCGUUAUCAGUAAAACUCUUGAAAACAGCUGCAUUAUUAUGGAGUAAGUAUAUGUAUACCACAAUUAAUAUAUUAUCCACGUAUAGGAUUUAUCAAUUACUGUCUUGCAUGCAUGGUUACUUAGCGGAGCGCCAAUGAGAAAAAUGGGUUGAGGCCGUAAUAUUGAAUAACCGUAGGUAGCUAGAUAAAGGGUACAGAUUAAAAAUUAACUAGUGCCAUACGCCAGACGAACUGGCGUAUGUUGAAAAUUUUACACUUUACGCUUCUCCAAGUAGCGGACUAUGGAAAAAUAAAAAAAGGCAAAAGUUCAUUACUCUCUCUUGAAGCUUUGAAGUUUAGAAUCACCGUUGGGCCAAGAAUAUUAAUCUCUCGAGCUUCCUUCACCAGCUUGCAACUCCCAUUACACCUAAAACAGGGCAAGAACCUGAUACCCCACAACCCUCGCACACAUACCCACCAGCAUUGUGCUUCAAUUUAGGCAAUCCAUGGACCAAAUCUCCAAAAUACCCCUCUUCUACAAUCCCUAUUCGUACAUUGUGCUUCAAUUUAGGCAACUGGAACCCUAGCUUCUGAAGCUAAUUCGUCACAACAACAGGUUCUUUCUCGAUUUGAUGCAGCGUCUGAUGAUUCUUCAAGUCUAAAUCGUAUACAGGCAUUGAAUGGAGGGACGAAAUUAGGGUUCCCAAGGCAGGAGAUUAGUGUUACCAUUAAUUUGGUUUCAAAGUCAAAGAAGGAGGUGCGAGAGUUUCGGAGGAAGCUCCAGGGCGAGCUUGAUUUGGUGAGGAAGAUUGAGACAAACGGCUGUCAGAAAGCUGGCAGUGAUGUUGAUAAUUGUGUUGGGCAGAGGAAGCGAGUUCACUCAGAGGUGGAGGCGAUGGGGCCUCUUCAGUCUAGGCCUUUGCAUCAGCUGAGUAUAUCUGUGUUAGAGAAUAGUCAAGGUGUAAAUGAUAAUGUGGAGAAAGAAAAGAGGACACCAAAGGCAAACCAGUUCUAUCGGAAUAGUGAGUUUCUUCUUGCUAAAGAUAAGUUUCCGCCAGCGGCAAGGAGGGAGUGAAAUGGGGUUUGGGUUGGGAAAGUUUUCAAAUCAAUUGGUCAAGAGUUGUAAUGCUUUUUAGUUGAGAGAUUAAUGAAGCACAAGCAUGGCUGGGUCAAGAGUUGUAAUGCUUUAGUCCGCUACUUGCGUAAAGUGUAUAAAAAUUUUCAAUGUACGCUAGUUCGUACCGCACUACUUAAUUUUUAAUCUGCGCCUUGAUUUAUGGAAUGCUAUUUGCCCAAUUUAUAUCUAUAACAAAUACUUGCUAUGGAUCAUAUCUCAUAUAUAUAUAUAUAUAUAUAUAUAUAUAUAUAUAUAUAUAUAUAUAUAGAUUUUAAAAUGAAGGAGGCUCACGGAUAUAGGGCAAGUUUCCACAAUUACCAACGGUGCAUUAGUAAAGAUAUAUAAAAUUAAUAGGGCAAUUAUAUGCAUGGGAUUAAUUUUAAUUAAUUAUCCUAAUUAAUUAGUACAUUCAACACCUAUAUAAUUAAUUACAUCCAAAAUUCAAACUUGGUGGGUGGCCGGAAGAUUUUUUUUCUUUCCAUUAUUUUCUUAAUUUGGGAGUCAUCAACUCAUAUAUCAUGUACAAAUUUUUAUAUAUAUACGCAACUUUUUUGUCAACAUGUGCCAACAAAAUAUAGUACGAAUUUGUGGAAAUUUGGGAGGGAAAAACUUGUACAAUGAUUAAUACUCCUACUGUUGUGUCGCCAUGUAAAGUUGUACUUAAAUCAUUGGAAUUAGCAAGGGAAAAAUUAACUUGUGAAUGAUGGAGACUGUAGCCGCCAUAUAUUGUAGCUGUUGUGUCUGAUGACAAAAUUAUACAAAUAGAACGUGCUAACCUUAGCCCUAGUCAUGUUACAUGCAAAAUAUUACUCCCUCCAUUCUUAUAUAAGUUGUUUUAGACUUUUUUUAUAUUUUUAAUUAUUUGUCGUUUGUGAUUAUCUAGGAGAAUUGAUUAUUAUUUUUUUCAAAUUGUCCCUUAUUAUUCCACCUAAUCUUUUGAUCCAUAUUUAUGAGAUAAGUGAGGUGAAGGGUAUUAUAGACAAUUGAUACUAUAGUUAAUGCUUUUCAACCAUUUCCUUAAUUCUUGUGCACAUGUCUAAAACGACCUAUAUUAAGGAACGAAGGGAGUAAAUAGUUACUUUUUCAAAAGUAAAUUGCCUAUCUAAGCUUAGUCUAUUAGUCAUGUACUACCUCCGUCUCUUAAUAUAAAUUUUUUUAGAGUUGUGCAUAAAUAUUAAGAAAAUAAUUGUAUAAUAUUAAAUAUAAUAUCAAAUGUCUAUAUUGACUUUGUAUUGGAAAAGAGAUUGUUAUUUAUUCCCUCCGUCCCUAAUUAUUUAAGAUUUUAGAGGUGGACACAAGGAUUAAGAUAAUGAUUAGAAAUCAUUAAAUAUAGUACUCAAUUGUCUAUAAUACCAUUAAAUCUUUUGUUGGGAUAAGGAGAGUUUUGUUAGGAUAAAAAGAGAGAAAGAGUUUAAAGUAAGGCUGCAAACGAGUCGAAUCGAUCUGGAUUCUAGGUUGCUCAGAUUUGAUUCGAUACAAAAAUGUCUUGAUCGUAUUCGAUUCGAAUUCGAAAUAGAAUUUAAACAAUGUACUCGUAUUCGACUCGAUGCAAAAAAUGACACUCGAAGAUCGAUUCGACUCGACUCGAAAUUAUAUUCGAACUACUUGUUUUGAAUAGAACUCGAGUAAAAAUGAGCUUGUAUCAUAUUAUUAAUUCCAAAUUUACAGUUUAUAAUAUACAAUUUUAAAAAGUUAGGCAUAUGAAUUACAAAAUACACAUUAGUAGCAGCAACAACAUUCAAGUUUCUAGCAGCAGCAUUAUCCAACAAGCAGCCAAUCCCGGAGCCUCUCUUUCAUAUUGGGUGUACAGGAUUUCAAACUCUUCACCCCAACAAUCAGCCAAUCCUGGAGCCUCACUUGGACAGAACAAGGACCAUUCUCCAUUGUUUUGGACCAUUUCCAUAAAGAGACCAGGAACCCAAAGAGCAUAAAAUAAGUCCCGGGCACGGUGCUCUUCCGAAAAGAAUGGCAUUGCCAAAAUUAUGACAUAUCAUUAAGCAGUAAGAGAGACUGGCUAUUUUGAAAGAUACGGGCUACUUUUUUCUUCAAUUGUGUUAUAAUAUACAAAAUUCAUAUGAUGCCAACACUCAAAUAAAAAAUAUAAUAAUAUUAAACCAAUGACAAUGACCUCAGUAAACUACCAACUUACCUUCCUAUGGUUUUUUUUAAAUCCAAAAAUUCAUAGAUGUCAGCAUGCCAUGCUAUACACAGCAAAAGCACCUACAUUCCCCAUUAAAAAAACUAUAAAACAGGAUACAACAAUCAAACAAAUAUAUCAGAAACAGAACAAGACAUAAUUUAUACCUUUCCUCUUGCCACCCCCUUGAUCAACAUAACGGGCAGUAUCAUUGAAGACACGGAGCAUUGGAUGUUCCAUUUGUUCCACGAAUAUAACUGCCAGUAGCACGGAUGUUAUGAACAGAGACACCAAUUCCUCCAGCUGAUUUGCUGAUAACAACACACUCCUUCAAAGUAUCAUAUAUGCCUUCAAUACUAUCAUCUUUAAUUUCAUGCAAAUCAGGAAGCAACUACUCAACAUAGGAAACAUAGAAAUAAAAAUGUUUACACCUUUUUAUAGCUCAGUCAAUUUCCUUUUUAUAGUUUUAGAAAACAUAGGAAUAAAUAUGUUUACACCUUCCACUUAAGAAAAUAGUAUGGACAUUAACCAAAAAAAGAAGAGGAAAAUCUUAAAAAUUCAAAUUCCUAUUUUUAAGGGUGACAUACCGCUUGCAGAAUUUCCAGAACACGUAAUUCUUUUAUCUUUCAAGGAAGAUCUUUAGCAAGUGCCUGCAUUUAAACCACACAUGUUAAGACACAUGUAACAGUACAUGUAUUUUGAAAGAUUAUAAAGUGUAAAGGUCUGCAUUUAACCUAAUCUAACUUGGGACCUAAGAGACGGAGAACGAUUUCUACAAAAUUGCACUUCCUGUUAUUUAAGCGUGAAAUAGAACAAACCUGCAUCGUACAAAAGAUGACCAAGCCCAAUGUUUUCAUAAAGUGCUCUUAGUACUCAUAGAGCUCAUAAAGUGCUCUUUUCACAAGCUCAAUGUUUCUAUUAGUUUCAAAAUCAGUUGUAAAAAUUUUUGGAAAAUAAAAUAUGACCAAUUGCAUCUUAUACAUUGGGUCAAGGAUAGAUGCAACUGCCAUCAGAAUGUUACACUCUCCCCAAUACUUAUCAAAAUUUUCAUAUGGAAUUUUAGAUUUGUCAAAUCGCACCUAAACGCUUUUGUGUACGGUUCGAACUUCAAAACGCAUCAUGCUCACCCCUAGUUUGGAGGACAACAAUCCCAAUUCCCAAGUCAAGUAUGUACUAGCUCCUGUACUGAUGUCUCAACUUCUAAUAAUGCUUCGCUUCUAUUGUACUUACUACGUACAAAAAGAUCAUAACAGUUGUAUAUAUUUCGACUCCAAAACUCUCCAGUUGUGAUUGUUUUAAAGUUGCAACAAGAUCAGUCCCUAUUAGGGAGUGGGUACUCUGGGCUGAAGGUCCCGGGCGAAUGUCCCAAAAGGACAAUGCAAGGAGGGCCAAGGAACCAUGCAUGGGUUGAGGAAGUGUAAGAGCCCAUAGACAAUAUUCCGAGAGGCGCGAUCGAUCGAAACCGAUGCAAGUACCCUGAGACUGAGAUGGUUCGGUUCCCUCAUUAGCGCACACGCACACGCAAUUGAUAUUCUAUUUUUUCCCUUUCACCAUUUAUUAUACACUCUUCGGACGGAAGAACAAUCCCUUAGGCCACCGUGAAAAUGUGAUUUGCAGGGUCGAAGUUCAACUCCCUAAACAAACGUCAGACACUUAAACUACGAAUGGAAGGUAGAACAACAGAAGCAACUGAGUGCUAAUUAACGAUCCAAAUGAAUUCAUUGAAUCCGGAUCCUAAUCCUAGUUAUAAAUUGUUGAAAAUUCCUUUCUUUUGGGAUGAUACUCCAAAAUACACUUAUUUAUGAUAUAUUACUAAAACAAUAUUCAAGGGAUUCUUUCCAUUGCAAUAUAUAUAAAAACUUAUAUCAACUAGCUUCCUUACAGAGGGAUAGGCUGAACAAGCAAAUAAUAAAAUAUAUCCUUUGUCACACCCAUCUCCACAAUUAUAAAAGCAUUGGGCUGUUUUACUAAGAUUUAUCAUUGUCUCAAUAUAAGAUCUAGACAAAGGAAUAUCUGAAUCUUGGCUUAAUUUAUUCACUUCUUUCCAUUUUUUCCUCAUCAAAUCCUUCAUGUGUUCACGGACAACUUUUUCGCUAGCACCGGUAUCAGACACGUAGCACUUGAUUGAUUUUGAAACAUCUCUCUCUCUCUCUCUCUAACUCAUCCUGCAUGCAUGCAUCCAUCCAAAUAAUUGUUACGUACAAACCUCGUCAAAAAUAUCAACAAUAUUUCAUAAUUAAAAAUAUUUUAUACCGAGGAUGUUCCGUAAUCAUCAGCUAGCCUAAAAAUUAGUGAUGACAAGUGUAAUAUAUCUGGCUUGCUCUCCAAAAACUUUAUUGCUUCCACUUUGAUGAAUUUGUGGUGAAAACUUUAUUGCUUCCAUUAAAGCGUUAUAGCUGAUUGCCGUAAUAGAUGAUAUUUAUGACGUGUAUGGUACAUUAGAUGAAAUUGAGCUAUUCACCGAUGCCGUUGAGAGGUUUUCUCUUAAUUAUACUGCUUGAUGAAUUUGUAUUCCCCAUAUGAACUUAAUUUUAACAUUAAUUAAGGUACAUAAUUUUUGUCAUUUGAUAAGGUGGGAUAUUAAUGAAAUAAACCAACUUCCAGAGUACAUGAAGUUAUGUUUCCUUGCGCUUUACAACUCUGUGAAUGAAAUAGUUUACGACAUCCUUAAGGAACAGAACAUCAAUGUUUUACCAUACCUCAAAAAAGCAGUACUAUAUAUUCUUCCACCCCUUAGUAAUUUAUUUCAUAAGAUAGAAGCGUUGCAAGGGGGCCUGCUAUCGACACCCAGGCAUUGCUCAAGUACUCCUCCAAUGUUGGCUUGUGUCCACUAGCAUAUACCACCGCACCUCUACUACGUAAGCUUGAGUAAAUUAAGCCACUACAACAUAAUAUUAAGAAAAAAACAUUUGUAAAUGAAGAUCAUGAAGAAAUGAAAAGAAGAAGAAGAAGUUUUUAUUCAACCAAAAGCUAUGAAAUUAAUUAGUAAAGGGUACCGGAAGAAUAUAUAGUACUGCUUUUUUGAGGUGUGGUAAAACAUUGAUGUUCUGUUCUUUAAGGAUGUCGUAAACUAUUUCAUUCACAAAGUUGUAAAGCGCAAGGAAGCAUAACUUCAUGUACUCUGGAAGUUGGUUUAUUUCAUUAAUAUCCCACCUGAUCAAAUGACAAAAAUUAUCUUAAUUAAUGUUAAAAUUAAUUCAUAUUGGGAAUGCAAAUUCAUCAAGCAGUAUAAUUAAGAGAAAACCUCUCAACGGCAUCAGUGAAGAGCUCAAUUUCAUCUAAUGUACCAUACACGUCAUAAAUAUCAUCUAUUACGGCAAUCAGUUGUAACGCUUUAGUUAACAUUACUCUGCAGUAUUCGAGUAAUUCCCAUUGCCCAUAAGAAUGAUGGCACCAACCUAUCCCUAGCAAAGCUCAAUUCCCUGUUUUGUUCCACCACCUACAAACCAAUCCAAAGCCGGUGAUAAAAAAGAAAAAAAGAAGCCAAUUGUAAGAAUGAAUUAGUAACUUCAGCGGUUUGACAAACAUAUAUAUCCGUAAUAUUAUUUAGGAAUAUUGUAAUGGUGACCUUUUAGAAUCUUCAUGUCACUUUAUAAUCUAAAUAAAGGUAUUUCUAAUUUUGGAACAAAUAAAAGUACAAAUCUUUAAUUUAAAUGAGAAGAUAUCUUCUACGUAUGUACGUACAUACCCUGACAAAAUUUUGAGUUCUUGGUUGAAUCCUUGCACAAGGUUGAAGUUCAAUUUAGCAAGUUGUAGUAAUACAGGGAUCAUGUCAUUGCUUCUUUCAUACACAUCGAUGUACCACCUUGCUUAGUUGCUUCUAACCAUGGCAUCCUCCAACGCAAUGGAAGCUCCAUGGCAUGUUUCACAUGCAUAGCAAGAUUCGGAUCAACUAUAUUUCCAUGGAGCUCUUUAAGGUUUAUAUUUGUGAAGCACCAUCCCUCCUCCAUUAGACACUCUCCUUCAAAAGAGUAGUAGGAAGCUU
This 7474-nucleotide long non-coding RNA is filed under the name Panax ginseng (ginseng). RNAcentral's name for it is "long non-coding RNA (PGIN_LNC015326)". Lineage: Eukaryota; Viridiplantae; Streptophyta; Magnoliopsida; Apiales; Araliaceae. The record is from RNAcentral.